Molecule: non-coding RNA, 26 nt
Filed under: Rattus norvegicus (Norway rat)
Lineage: Eukaryota; Metazoa; Chordata; Mammalia; Rodentia; Muridae
Source: RNAcentral
UGAAAUGGAGAAGCCUAGAGGAAAUA